Molecule: ribosomal RNA, 573 nt
Filed under: Triticum aestivum (bread wheat)
Lineage: Eukaryota; Viridiplantae; Streptophyta; Magnoliopsida; Poales; Poaceae
Description: partial small subunit ribosomal RNA
Source: RNAcentral
AUGAACAAGCCGGCUGAAGACCCCAAGACCACUGAGCCGGAGAAGCAGACAAUAUCAGAAGCUUCCCAUCAAACCAUUGAACCUGCUGCUAAUUACCCGCCACCAAAGACUCUCAACGUCAAAGUGGAUCCAAUGGGUGUUGACCCCUCAAGUGCUAAACCGCCAAGUCCCACCAAGCCUGUUGAAGAAGAGGCCGAAGAAGUUGUGGUCAUUGGGACUGGCUAUGCGGAGCCAAUGAACCCCACUGUCUUAGCAAAGCACAGUGCCAAGGAGGAAUUUUUAGCUACUGAUAAAGGCAAAUGGAAAUUGGACUUGGAAAGCUAUGCCAGCUUCAACGCCAGUGAAAUUCAUGUAGGCUACUUAAGCCGUCUUCAUACCAGCCGCGAUAUGGAAGCCGGCCUGGUCAAUCUGAUGAAGGAACGCUUUGAGGCUGAAUUAAGCAUGAAGGAGUCUCAUGUGGUCGAUCUGCGGAAGAACAUCAAAUUGCAACAAUCAGAAACCUCAAAGGCCAAAUCCAAACUGAAAGCCGCCUUGGAAGUGUCUGAAAAAUUGAAGACGUAUUUCAACACGUAG